This 255-nucleotide ribosomal RNA is filed under the name uncultured bacterium. RNAcentral's name for it is "partial 16S ribosomal RNA". It matches the Rfam family "Bacterial small subunit ribosomal RNA", at positions 524 to 776 of the family's 1533-position model. The record is from RNAcentral.
UACGAAGGGGGGCUAGCGUUGCUCGGAAUUACUGGGCGUAAAGCGCACGUAGGCGGCUUUCUAAGUCGGGGGUGAAAUCCUGGAGCUCAACUCCAGAACUGCCUUUGAUACUGGAGGAUCUUGAGUUCGGGAGAGGUGAGUGGAACUGCGAGUGUAGAGGUGAAAUUCGUAGAUAUUCGCAAGAACACCAGUGGCGAAGGCGGCUCACUGGCCCGAUACUGACGCUGAGGCACGAAAGCGUGGGGAGCAAACAGG